This 64-nucleotide transfer RNA is filed under the name Carcinocoris binghami. Its description in RNAcentral is "tRNA-Ile". The record is from RNAcentral. Lineage: Eukaryota; Metazoa; Arthropoda; Insecta; Hemiptera; Phymatidae.
GAUGAUAUGCCUGAACAAUAGGACUAUUUUGAUAGAAUAGAAAAUGUAUUAUAUACUGUCAUCA